Molecule: long non-coding RNA, 1471 nt
Organism: Ricinus communis (castor bean)
Lineage: Eukaryota; Viridiplantae; Streptophyta; Magnoliopsida; Malpighiales; Euphorbiaceae
Exons: 2
Source: RefSeq, a predicted model, not a curated record
AUUGAUUAGCUGGAGCAUUUUUCUAGCAGCAUUUCCCAGUUUUUCCAUCUGAAAAGAUUCUCUUCCUAUUUCAAUUGUUUCUCUAUUUAUCAUUAAUCUUCCUAUCAUCAUCAUUAUCAUCAUCUUAGACCGAUUCUUUUGGCCAGACUUGGCUCAUAUGAAAAAGGGCCAUGAGUACAGCAAGGUUCUGGAACAGCUUCUGAAGCCUGAAAAGUUCCUUUUGUAUCACUCUUAGAAAAGCUGGAUUCCUAGAUUCCUUUAUCUGUUUCGGCAUUAUGUUUUCCAGGACUUGAAUUUUGGUACUUACCAGGCAAGUAGCCUUGUUAAUGGUGUCUGCAUCAAAACCUGAGAUUUUUGCAUCUUCCAGGAUGUUAAGCAUCACGUCCAUGAAGUCCUUUUCUUCCUUCUCCUUACCACUUAACUUUCGCCUUUGUUUAUGUUCCUCUAGCCACCCUUCCAUCAGAAUGUCCAAUUCCUUAGCAGUUUUCUUCAUACUUUUCUCAUAUCCUUUAAAAUCCAACCAACCAAGAUAUGGUAUUGCAUCGGACAACACAAAAACUCCAAACAAGAAGGCAAAAUCUCUUAUCACUUUCCGACGUCUCUGCGCUUCUCCUUCCUCCACAUCAGCAUUCGGUCCAAAACAUCGCUUCCCUCCCACCGUUCUCAAAGCAACAUUAUGUGUCAAGUCUCCAAACCACUGUUUCAUAUCCACCAACGUACCACUUUCUUUACUGCCUUUGCCAACCCAUUUCUCGUACAGUUUCCCUAUUGCAAUCUGCACUUCUGAAGUUCGUAUAUGCUUUAGCAUAUCAAUUCUAUGAGUUGAGAAAAGCUCGAUUGUCGCUAUUUUACGCAUCUCGCGCCAGUAGUCCCCAUAAGGGGCAAACCCAAACAUGGCAAAGUCGUAGCCUAGCAGCUUUGAAGCAGCAAUGAUUGGUCUACUGGAGAAAACUCUAUCAUGUGAAGUGAAACAUUCCCUUGCCAUCUCCCAACUAUUUACCGUUAAAACUCUGUGCGAACCGAGUUUUAUGGUGAAGACAGGACCGUGCUUAUCAGCCAUGGCUCCUAGUGUUUUGUGAGUCAACUGAUGGCCACCAAAGAGAUGCAUAUGGCCAAUUACAGGCCAAGCUCCACCAGCUUGAGGCACAGUGCAUCUACUAUUUCGCUUUGAGUGAUAAAAAUAGAUAGAGAAUAAAAGGACAACAGUAAAGAUCAGGGUUAAUAAUAGUUGGCGAAAAAAGUCCAUCUCAGGUUGCAGAAAUGAAGGAAGGAAGACAGAUUGUUGGUCUCAGAAAUUUAUAUGUAUUAUUUUGAUUUCAUUUUUCUAGGAUGAUAAUAAUUAUAGCCAACCUUGGGGACCAUUAUGCAUAUAAGUCACAUAAAAUAUCCUACAUACUAUGCAGAAUAGUCCUUUCUUGCCAUCUGUUGCUCUCACAUGGAUAUUUAUAUAUAUAUAUACAUUUCACAUCAA